Molecule: ribosomal RNA, 409 nt
Filed under: uncultured bacterium
Lineage: Bacteria
Description: bacterial SSU rRNA
Rfam family: Bacterial small subunit ribosomal RNA
Source: RNAcentral
GUAGGGAAUAUUGGGCAAUGGGGGAAACCCUGACCCAGCAACGCCGCGUGAGGGAAGAAGGUUUUCGGAUUGUAAACCUCUGUCCUAUGGGACGAAGGAAGUGACGGUACCAUAGGAGGAAGCUCCGGCUAACUACGUGCCAGCAGCCGCGGUAAUACGUAGGGAGCGAGCGUUGUCCGGAAUUACUGGGCGUAAAGGGUGCGUAGGCGGUAUUUUAAGUCGCAUGUGAAAUACUCGGGCUUAACCCGGGGGCUGCAUGCGAAACUGGGGUACUAGAGUGCAGGAGAGGUAAGCGGAAUUCCUAGUGUAGCGGUGAAAUGCGUAGAUAUUAGGAGGAACACCAGUGGCGAAGGCGGCUUACUGGACUGUAACUGACGCUGAGGCACGAAAGCGUGGGGAGCAAACAGGA